GAUUUCUGGCUUGAAACACUAAGCCGGCCACGGUUUCGUGUGUUAGUGCUUGGUGUUCUGGCCAUCCUUCCAGUCGCUACCUACUUCUCUUCAUUGAUUAGUAGGUGGUACUGGAUCUUUUACUUUGAAAAAAUUAGAGUGUUUCAAGCAGGCUAUUGCUAUGAAUACAUUAGCAUGGAAUAAUAAUUUAGGACUUCGGUUCUAUUUUGUUGGUUCUCGGGACCGAAGUAAUGAUUGAUAGGGAUAGUUGGGGGUGCUAGUAUUCAGCGGCCAGAGGUGAAAUUCUCGGAUUCGCUGAAGACUAACUUAUGCGAAAGCAUU
This 321-nucleotide ribosomal RNA is filed under the name Sandonidae sp. RNAcentral describes it as "SSU rRNA". It matches the Rfam family "Eukaryotic small subunit ribosomal RNA", at positions 634 to 955 of the family's 1831-position model. The record is from RNAcentral. Lineage: Eukaryota; Cercozoa; Glissomonadida; Sandonidae.